UACGGAGGGGGCUAGCGUUGUUCGGAUUUACUGGGCGUAAAGGGCGCGUAGGCGGCCACCGCAAGUCGACUGUGAAAUCUCCGGGCUUAACUCGGAAAGGUCAGCCGAUACUGCGGGGCUAGAGUGCAGAAGGGGCAACUGGAAUUCUCGGUGUAGCGGUGAAAUGCGUAGAUAUCGUGAGGAACACCAGAGGCGAAGGCGGCUACCUGGACAAUUGCUGACGCUCAGGCACGAAAGCGUGGGGAGCAAAAGGG
RNAcentral lists this ribosomal RNA (254 nucleotides) under uncultured bacterium. RNAcentral's name for it is "partial 16S ribosomal RNA". It matches the Rfam family "Bacterial small subunit ribosomal RNA", at positions 524 to 776 of the family's 1533-position model. The record is from RNAcentral.